CCCCUAGUAACUGCGAGUGAAGCGGGAAAAGCUCAAAUUUAAAAUCUGAUAGUCUUUGGCUGUCCGAGUUGUAGUCUGGAGAAGCGUUUUCCGCGCUGGACCGUGUACAAGUCUCCUGGAACGGAGCGUCAUAGAGGGUGAGAAUCCCGUCUUUGACACGGACUACCAGUGCUUUGUGAUGCGCUCUCAAAGAGUCGAGUUGUUUGGGAAUGCAGCUCAAAAUGGGUGGUAAACUCCAUCUAAAGCUAAAUAUUGGCGAGAGACCGAUAGCGAACAAGUACCGUGAGGGAAAGAUGAAAAGCACUUUGGAAAGAGAGUUAAACAGUACGUGAAAUUGCUGAAAGGGAAACGCUUGAAGUCAGUCGCGUUUGCUAGGACUCAGCCUUGCCUCGGCUUGGUGCAUUUCCUAGUAGACGGGCCAGCAUCACUUUUGGCUGCGGGAAAAAGAUCAGAGGAAUGUGGCACCUUCGGGUGUGUUAUAGCCUCUGGUUGUAUACCGUGGCUGGGAGUGAGGAUCUCAGCACGCCUUUAUGGCGGGGCUUCGGCCACCUUCGUGCUUAGGAUGCUGGCGUAAUGGCUUUAAACGACCCGUCUUGAAACACGGACCAAGGAGUCUAACAUGCCUGCGAGUGUUUGGGUGGAAAACCCGAGCGCGUAAUGAAAGUGAAAGUUGGGACCUCUGUCGUGGAGGGCACCGACGCCCGGACCAGACCUUCUGUGACGGAUCCGCGGUAGAGCAUGUAUGUUGGGACCCGAAAGAUGGUGAACUAUGCCUGAAUAGGGUGAAGCCAGAGGAAACUCUGGUGGAGGCUCGUAGCGAUUCUGACGUGCAAAUCGAUCGUCAAAUUUGGGUAUAGGGGCGAAAGACUAAUCGAACCAUCUAGUAGCUGGUUCCUGCCGA
RNAcentral lists this ribosomal RNA (901 nucleotides) under Phanerochaete sp. Its description in RNAcentral is "partial large subunit ribosomal RNA". It matches the Rfam family "Eukaryotic large subunit ribosomal RNA", at positions 77 to 964 of the family's 3401-position model. The record is from RNAcentral. Lineage: Eukaryota; Fungi; Basidiomycota; Agaricomycetes; Polyporales; Phanerochaetaceae.